Molecule: ribosomal RNA, 510 nt
Filed under: uncultured bacterium
Lineage: Bacteria
Description: partial 16S ribosomal RNA
Rfam family: Bacterial small subunit ribosomal RNA
Source: RNAcentral
GACGAACGCUGGCGGCGUGCUUAACACAUGCAAGUCGAACGAAGAGCGAUGGACGCUUGCUUCUAUCAAUCUUAGUGGCGAACGGGUGAGUAACGCGUAAUCAACCUGCCCUUCAGAGGGGGACAACAGUUGGAAACGACUGCUAAUACCGCAUACGAUCUAAUCUCGGCAUCGAGGAUAGAUGAAAGGUGGCCUCUACAUGUAAGCUAUCACUGAAGGAGGGGAUUGCGUCUGAUUAGCUAGUUGGAGGGGUAACGGCCCACCAAGGCGAUGAUCAGUAGCCGGUCUGAGAGGAUGAAAGGCAACAUUGGGACUGAGACACGGCCCAGACUCCUACGGGAGGCAGCAGUGGGGAAUCUUCCGCAAUGGACGAAAGUCUGACGGAGCAACGCCGCGUGAGUGAUGACGGCCGUCGGGUUGUAAAGCUCUGUUAAUCGGGACGAAAGGCCUUCUUGCGAAUAGUGAGAAGGAUUGACGGUACCGGAAUAGAAAGCCACGGCUAACUACGUG